RNAcentral lists this ribosomal RNA (423 nucleotides) under uncultured bacterium. Its description in RNAcentral is "partial 16S ribosomal RNA". It matches the Rfam family "Bacterial small subunit ribosomal RNA", at positions 360 to 775 of the family's 1533-position model. The record is from RNAcentral.
AAUCUUGGACAAUUGGGGAAACUCUGAUCCAGCCAUACUGCGUGUAGGAUGAUGGCAUUUGGGUUGUAAAGUACUUUUGGCAGAGAAGAAAAGGUAUCUCCUAAUACGAUAUACUGCUGACGGUAUCUGCAGAUUAUGUACCGGCUAACUAUGUGCCAGCAGCCGCGGUAAUAAGUAGGGUGCAAGCGUUAAUCGGAAUUACUGGGCGUAAAGCGUGUGUAGGCUGUUCCGAAAGAAAGAUUUGAAAUCCCAGGGCUCAACCUUGGAACUGCAUUUUUAACUGUCGAGCUAGAGUAUGUCAGAGGGGUGUAGAAUUCCACGUGUAGCAGUGAAAUGCGUAGAUAUGUGGAGGAAUACCGAUGGCGAAGGCAGCCCCCUGGGAUAAUACUGACACUCAGAAACGAAAGCGUGGGGAGCAAACAG